AACGAGCGCAACCCUCGUUAUAUGUUGCCAGCACGUAAUGGUGGGAAAUCAUGGGAUACUGCCGGGGUCAACUCGGAGGAAGGUGGGGAUGACGUCAAAUCAUCAUGCCCCUUAUGUCUUGGGCUUCACGCAUGCUACAAUGGCCGGUACAAAGGGCUGCGAUACCGUAAGGUGGAGCGAAUCCCAAAAAGCCGGUCCCAGUUCGGAUUGAGGUCUGCAACUCGACCUCAUGAAGUCGGAGUCGCUAGUAAUCGCAGAUCAGCAACGCUGCGGUGAAUACGUUCCCGGGUCUUGUACACACCGCCCGUCAAGUCAUGAAAGUCGGUAACACCUGAAGCCGGUGGCGCUAACC
This 352-nucleotide ribosomal RNA is filed under the name Microbacterium sp. RNAcentral's name for it is "bacterial SSU rRNA". It matches the Rfam family "Bacterial small subunit ribosomal RNA", at positions 1091 to 1440 of the family's 1533-position model. Lineage: Bacteria; Bacillati; Actinomycetota; Actinomycetes; Micrococcales; Microbacteriaceae. The record is from RNAcentral.